This 1005-nucleotide ribosomal RNA is filed under the name Salmonella enterica subsp. enterica serovar Manhattan. RNAcentral describes it as "bacterial LSU rRNA". It matches the Rfam family "Bacterial large subunit ribosomal RNA", at positions 1926 to 2925 of the family's 2925-position model. Lineage: Bacteria; Pseudomonadati; Pseudomonadota; Gammaproteobacteria; Enterobacterales; Enterobacteriaceae. The record is from RNAcentral.
AACGGCGGCCGUAACUAUAACGGUCCUAAGGUAGCGAAAUUCCUUGUCGGGUAAGUUCCGACCUGCACGAAUGGCGUAAUGAUGGCCAGGCUGUCUCCACCCGAGACUCAGUGAAAUUGAACUCGCUGUGAAGAUGCAGUGUACCCGCGGCAAGACGGAAAGACCCCGUGAACCUUUACUAUAGCUUGACACUGAACAUUGAGCCUUGAUGUGUAGGAUAGGUGGGAGGCUUUGAAGCGUGGACGCCAGUCUGCGUGGAGCCGACCUUGAAAUACCACCCUUUAAUGUUUGAUGUUCUAACGUGGACCCGUAAUCCGGGUUGCGGACAGUGUCUGGUGGGUAGUUUGACUGGGGCGGUCUCCUCCUAAAGAGUAACGGAGGAGCACGAAGGUUGGUUAAUCCUGGUCGGACAUCAGGAGGUUAGUGCAAUGGCAUAAGCCAGCUUGACUGCGAGCGUGACGGCGCGAGCAGGUGCGAAAGCAGGUCAUAGUGAUCCGGUGGUUCUGAAUGGAAGGGCCAUCGCUCAACGGAUAAAAGGUACUCCGGGGAUAACAGGCUGAUACCGCCCAAGAGUUCAUAUCGACGGCGGUGUUUGGCACCUCGAUGUCGGCUCAUCACAUCCUGGGGCUGAAGUAGGUCCCAAGGGUAUGGCUGUUCGCCAUUUAAAGUGGUACGCGAGCUGGGUUUAGAACGUCGUGAGACAGUUCGGUCCCUAUCUGCCGUGGGCGCUGGAGAACUGAGGGGGGCUGCUCCUAGUACGAGAGGACCGGAGUGGACGCAUCACUGGKGUUCGGGUUGUCAUGCCAAUGGCACUGCCCGGUAGCUAAAUGCGGAAGAGAUAAGUGCUGAAAGCAUCUAAGCACGAAACUUGCCCCGAGAUGAGUUCUCCCUGAGACUUAGAGUCUCCUGAAGGAACGUUGAAGACGACGACGUUGAUAGGCCGGGUGUGUAAGCGCAGCGAUGCGUUGAGCUAACCGGUACUAAUGAACCGUGAGGCUUAACCUU